This is a long non-coding RNA of Perognathus longimembris pacificus (Pacific pocket mouse), 507 nucleotides long. RefSeq lists it as uncharacterized. The record is from RefSeq and is a predicted model, not a curated record. The transcript has 3 exons. Lineage: Eukaryota; Metazoa; Chordata; Mammalia; Rodentia; Heteromyidae.
GAAAGGGAGAGGGGGAAGAAAGAAAAUAACCUGUGAACUACAUUGGCUUCAUGUGUAGGCUACAUACUUAAGGUAUGUAGCAUACAUUUCAAAGUCUCACAUGGCCAUAGGACACCAGAGAAAACAGUUCUCUGCUCACUGAGGAAGACACUGAUAGAAGCUGCAGAACUCCUGCACUCUGAGGCAUGGUUUAUUUACACAGGCCACUCCAGCCUGCUAUACCGCAGAAAACAGUUCUAAUAGGAAGUCCCUUUCAAAUGUUACCUUUAUAAGGACUGCUUAUGCAGAUUCAUAGAUUAUUUUAACAUCAUUUAACUGUAUAAAAUGUAAGCCAAAGCAGUCCACUGACUCUGCUCUUAAAGAGUGUAAAAUACAAGACUAGGGGUAAAUUGAACAUGGACUUUCAUCAAGGGGUAUGGUACAGGGAGGGGAAGCCAGUAAAAUUUGAAAGCCUAUACAUAUACACACAUAUCAUCAUCAUCAUUAAUGUCACUGAGAUGAAUUAUU